GACGAACGCUGGCGGCGUGCCUAAUACAUGCAAGUAGAACGCUGAAGGAGGAGCUUGCUCUUCUGGAUGAGUUGCGAACGGGUGAGUAACGCGUAGGUAACCUGCCUGGUAGCGGGGGAUAACUAUUGGAAACGAUAGCUAAUACCGCAUAAGAGUAGAUGUUGCAUGACAUUUGCUUAAAAGGUGCAAUUGCAUCACUACCAGAUGGACCUGCGUUGUAUUAGCUAGUUGGUGGGGUAACGGCUCACCAAGGCGACGAUACAUAGCCGACCUGAGAGGGUGAUCGGCCACACUGGGACUGAGACACGGCCCAGACUCCUACGGGAGGCAGCAGUAGGGAAUCUUCGGCAAUGGACGGAAGUCUGACCGAGCAACGCCGCGUGAGUGAAGAAGGUUUUCGGAUCGUAAAGCUCUGUUGUAAGAGAAGAACGAGUGUGAGAGUGGAAAGUUCACACUGUGACGUAUCUACCAGAAAGGACG
This 480-nucleotide ribosomal RNA is filed under the name Streptococcus sp. oral taxon 064. Its description in RNAcentral is "bacterial SSU rRNA". It matches the Rfam family "Bacterial small subunit ribosomal RNA", at positions 28 to 494 of the family's 1533-position model. The record is from RNAcentral. Lineage: Bacteria; Bacillati; Bacillota; Bacilli; Lactobacillales; Streptococcaceae.